AUAAUGAUACUUCUGUUCAGUCACAGUCCGAGCGUUAAAAGCGUCGCAGGCAAUGAGAACAGUUCCGGUGAUGCCGGGAAGGUGAGAUUCCUAUGA
RNAcentral lists this non-coding RNA (96 nucleotides) under human gut metagenome. RNAcentral's name for it is "pemK RNA". It matches the Rfam family "pemK RNA". The record is from RNAcentral.